AUUGAACGCUGGCGGCAUGCCUUACACAUGCAAGUCGAACGGCAGCACGGGUGCUUGCACCUGGUGGCGAGUGGCGAACGGGUGAGUAAUACAUCGGAACAUGUCCUGUAGUGGGGGAUAGCCCGGCGAAAGCCGGAUUAAUACCGCAUACGAUCCACGGAUGAAAGCGGGGGACCUUCGGGCCUUGCGCUAUAGGGUUGGCCGAUGGCUGAUUAGCUAGUUGGUGGGGUAAAGGCCUACCAAGGCGACGAUCAGUAGCUGGUCUGAGAGGACGACCAGCCACACUGGGACUGAGACACGGCCCAGACUCCUACGGGAGGCAGCAGUGGGGAAUUUUGGACAAUGGGCGAAAGCCUGAUCCAGCAAUGCCGCGUGUGUGAAGAAGGCCUUCGGGUUGUAAAGCACUUUUGUCCGGAAAGAAAUCCUUGGCUCUAAUACAGUCGGGGGAUGACGGUACCGGAAGAAUAAGCACCGGCUAACUACGUG
This 486-nucleotide ribosomal RNA is filed under the name uncultured bacterium. RNAcentral's name for it is "partial 16S ribosomal RNA". It matches the Rfam family "Bacterial small subunit ribosomal RNA", at positions 30 to 507 of the family's 1533-position model. The record is from RNAcentral.